CGCAAAUUAAGGCACUUUGGUGGGCUCAUAACCCAAAGGUCGUACGUUCAAAUCGUGCCCCCGCUACCA
RNAcentral lists this transfer RNA (69 nucleotides) under Fibrobacter sp. Its description in RNAcentral is "tRNA-Leu". Lineage: Bacteria; Pseudomonadati; Fibrobacterota; Fibrobacteria; Fibrobacterales; Fibrobacteraceae. The record is from RNAcentral.